Molecule: RNA transcript, 3166 nt
Organism: Onychostoma macrolepis
Lineage: Eukaryota; Metazoa; Chordata; Actinopteri; Cypriniformes; Cyprinidae
Exons: 11
Source: RefSeq, a predicted model, not a curated record
CGCUCUCAAGUGCAGACGGUUCGCGUGCUCAACACAAACCAGCAUUACAAUAUGCCAUAAUUCCAGCCAAUCAGAGAUGAGGCUGCUAAAUUCUGAUUGGCUGGCUGGACAACCAAUCACAAGACUCCCUGCAUCACCGACGGCGGAAGAGGAAAAAUACAUGGUGGAAGAGAUAUUUGUUUAAUGGCUUGAAAACUUCAAUUUAAGUUUAAAUGUCAACCACUCGACGACCACACAAUCGCCACGUCAGUGACGUCACACGUAACGUCAACUGAAAAAAGUUCCUGCAGUACGAUCGAGACCGCUGACACUGCCAUCAAUUUGAACACAAUUCGAAUAAAGCAAACAGGUUGAAGUACAAGGCUUAAAAAGAUGGCUUAUCUAAAAGCAUGGCGAAAAAGGAAGGCAGAAAUGGAUCUGUUACUGCAUUCUGACACUGAUGAUGACCAUGAAAGUCAGAGAUCAGUGACCGAUAGAUCAGCCUGUGGAUUACAUAACAACCAGGCAGACACUACAAGCAGUUUUGAAAGUAUUAAUUCGGCAACUGACAGUUUGACAACAUAUGAGUCAGACUUUGACACUGAUGUGGAGCAUGUGUCUUCUGACUCAGAAAAAGAAGUUCUAAAUGAUGAUGCUGAAUUGGAUUUUCCUGAUUUAGAAGGGAACUUAAGACAAUGGUCUACAAAGAACAAAACCACACAAAGAUCCUUAAAUGAAUUAUUGGCAAUAUUAAGAAAGCAAGGACACCUGCUGCCGAAGGAUGCAAGGACACUCCUUGCUACACCACGAGCCGUAGGAUCUGAGCCGAAAUGUAGUGGGAAAAGGGGAUUUGUCGUUUACUAAGUCAGACAACGUCUUUCACACAUGAUCAUCAUUCAGUAAACCUCAGCAUCAAUAUUGAUGGUGUCCCACUCUUUAAAAGCAGCAAAGUCCAGUUCUGGCCAAUAUUGGCGAAGUUUCACAACUUUGAGCCAUUUAUGGUUGCUCUCUUUUGUGGGGACAACAAACCAUAUCCUCUUGAGGAAUAUCUUGAUGACUUUUUGAUGGAGUGUAAACAUCUCACAGAGAAUGGGCUGAUUCAUGAAGAGAAGACCUACACUGUUCAUGUUAAAGCAUUGAUCUGCGACGCACCAGCAAGAGCUUAUCUGAAGCGCAUUAAAAAUCAUAAUGCCUGUCACAGUUGUGAGAGGUGCAUCACCAAAGGUGCUUACAUCACAAGAAGAGUGGUAUUUAAUGAACAGGGAUGCACCUUGCGAACAGAUGAAGCUUUCAGUGCAGUAGCCCAUUCAUUGCUGCAGGACUGUCUUGUGUUAGCUCUUUUGUCUUAGACUAUAUGCAUAUGGUCAACUUGGGAGUGGUUCGACGGAUACUAAUAUUCUUGACUCGGGGCCCAACACUUUGCCGCUUAUCUGUAAGGCAAAGGCAAGAAAUAUCACAAAAGCUAAACAGACUGCGAGGAAAGAUGCCUAGUGAAUUUGCUCGGCAGCCCCGGGGUUUAGAAGACCUGGACAGGUGGAAGGCCACAGAAUUUCGGCAGUUUUUGUUGUAUACAGGACCAGUUGUGCUAAAGAACGUGUUAUCUCCCGAAAGAUACUACCAUUUCCUGUCCUUGACAGUAGCUAUGUCAAUUAUGUUGGAGUCAGAUGAGAGCACUCGCAAUUCAUACCUUCAGUAUGCCCAUGAACUCAUGUCGCACUUUGUCAUGCGCUGUGCUGACCUGUACGGAAAGUAUUUUUCAGUUUACAAUGUACAUGGACUGAUUCACCUUCAUGAGGACGUGCGUCACUUCAAUUGCUCGCUGAAUGAUAUUUCUGGUUUUCCUUUUGAAAACCAUCUCCAACAAAUCAAGAAACAUGUACGGAGUGGGAAGAAUCCCCUAGCACAGGUGACCAGGCGAUUGUCAGAGAUUGAAUAUGCAAACGCCAAAACACAGCCUGAAGCACGACCUCGAAUGUUUCUUUCUACAAAGGAAAAGGACAGUUGUUUUCUCCUGCGAGAUGAAAAAUUUGCUUUCAUCAGAGAAAGAAGAGGAGAUGGGAUUGUGGUAUGUGAUGUCCUGCACCAGCGUUACACAUCACCAUUGUUUGAGAAGCCAUGCAACUCCAAACUUCUCAAUAUAGUGUACACAAGAAAUGGGCAAGGCAGGAUGAAAAGACGACAACUGCUUGAAGCUGAUCUGUUCCGCAAGGUGGCCUGCCUCCCUCAUGAAAAUGGUGGUUCUGUUCUCAUACCUCUCCUCCAUGGUAUAGAACACAGAAUUUGAAGAUCAUGUAUGCCAGAGCUGUGUGGUUGGAGUAUGGUAAAGAAGUGGAGGGAACUGCGCCAGACAACUGGAUUGAUGCUGAAAAAAAAAAAUCAUUAGAUGGCCUAAAAAAGGGGAAAAGGCAGCUUUCCUCAAUAGGCACUCCCCUCAGGAUGACUGGAUGACAUUCACCUUGGUGAAGCGUAAAAUGACCUCUGUUAGCAUUCGUGAAUGCGAUGAUUAUGACAUGACGAGUCAUGUUGAGGAGGAAGAUGAGGAAGCAGUUCGGAGGAAAAAGACCAAACGCAACUUUGAUGACUAUGUUCUUGAAUCUUACGAUUUGGAGGAGGAAGAAGAGAACAUGACAGAUGCCAUUAUCAAGGUGCCCUCCUUUCCCAUUCCACCAUCAAAGGUGACAAAGUCCAUCCAGAUGGAGUCUGCUGGAUUUAACAAAAAGUUCACUGACUCUGGACACUCAAAUUUAGCCAGGUCUCACCAGACAGGUGUUGGGUCCAGGGACAGGUCAACAGGCAACCCUGGGCAUUUAAAUGUAAACCGAGCCAGCCAGUUGAAGGGUGCUGGGUCCAGUCAUCAGUCCAGCCACAGUGAUGUGUCCCAGCACAGUGACGGUUCCCAGUACAGCGGCGGGUCCCAUCACAGCAAACGGUACUGACACAGGAAGCAGUCCAGGCACAGUGACCAGUCCAGGGACAGCAACCAGAUGCGACAAGACCCUGGGCAUUUAAAUGUAAACCGAGCCAGCCAGUUGAAGGGUGCUGGGUCCAGUCAUCAGUCCAGCCACAGUGAUGUGUCCCAGCACAGUGACGGUUCCCAGUACAGCGGCGGGUCCCAUCACAGCAAACGGUACUGACACAGGAAGCAGUCCAGGCACAGUGACCAGUCCAGGGACAGCAACCAGAUGCG